AUGCUUUGGACUAAACAUGGCCAUGAGGAGGAAUUGUAUGAGUUGUAUUUUAAUAGCUGGCACUACAUUGUGUUCCUUUUGUGGCAGCCUGUGGCUGAUGGAUCUUCAGGCUCUAGGACACCCUCUCUCCCCACUCCCACGGUAGAUCCACCGCAAGCCUGUAGCCAUGAAAUAAGAGACCAUUUAUGUUUUCUGGCUACCUCCCACUCUCCUAUGAUUAUUUCCUUGCAUCCACACCUGUCCUUCAAAGUCCUUAACUGUAACAACACAGCUAUGGUCUGCCACGCUCAGGUGCCUUAACUGAAGUGUUGUCAGUAAUAAUGGUUCUAUACCAAGCUGGCCACUACUCCCCUUUGAACGCUUCUAAAUGUGGGACUGCUCCUUGUGUAGUCAUGAAGCAGCUCUGGACUUUCCCUACAUGCCUCGUCUGAACGCUUCAGGAUAAGAAAGAAUGCCAAUAGUGAUUCUUGAGUGAUGACGCCUUUUGAGCUCCAGUUUUGUCAGCCGAGAGAUUAGUAUGGUGGAGUUUGCAGCACUUAAGUCUGGCCUUUCCCUCUCCUUGUUCAUUCCAGUGUUUGCCCUGUCUGCCCUUAAGGCCUCUUUGCUGAGAUAUUCUUAAAUGAGCAUACAUUUGGCUCACAAAGAUCCAAAGUCAACUGCUUACAAAGUCUGUUGUCUUUGGAGGAAGGAAUUGUAUUAUUGUGGCUUUUUUCCUGGUCUAUUAAAAUGUUUUUGUACUAUCCUUGAUGCUACACCAAGGCAAAAUGCAAAAAUAUAACGUACAAAUCUGAUACAAGAAACACUUUUUUAAAAAUCCUAUAAACAUGAGAAAGGAGAUUCCAAACAUAGUUCAAAAAUCAUUAUGAAAAGGAGAAAGCUGGGCAACUAAAGUAUAGUGUAACCUCGACUUAAGAGUAUUCCAAUGUAAGGGUGUUUUGAGAUAAGAGUGUUGCUUGGUCUGUGUUUUGUGUUGACAUAAGAUCAGUAUUUUGAGUUAAGAGGGUGCACUAGUGUGAGAGUAAGGGAGCAGCCUCCGUGCCUUGUGCCUCGUGCUCUUGUCAGCUUUGGGAGAUUGCUGUAUGUUUUGUUCUCGUCUGCUUUGAGGAACUUUGGGUUAGUUGAUUUUGUGUGGUUUUUAUUCCUGGUCUGUUUGGUUUCACGAAGAGAGAGAGGGAGAGAGAACAAGAGAGGGACAGAGCCUGAAAUGAGUACAGUGUGAAGAAAAUGAUGCUUCUGCCUGUUGGCUUUGUGCUUUAUGCUUCUACCAUUUUAACAUUGAUCUUUCUUUUUAUUGUUUCAUGUGAAUGUGCAUUUAUACAUUAUUUGCUAUUUAUAAAGUACAUUUUCCUAUUUAAAAACACGUAACAAAAAUUGGGCAUGUUUUGGGGAUGAUACAGAUUAAUAGUAUUUCAAUGGGUAAUUUGCUUUGAGAUAAGAACAUUUUGAGUUAAGAGCUCAGUCACAGAACGAAUUAAACUCUUAAGUUAAGGCCUCACUGUACAGGCAUCAGGAUUUUUUUAAUGCACCCUGAAGGGAAGAAAAAAAAACACAUGGGAAAGGAUGAGGGAAAACUUGAAGUACCUAGAAUUAUCAAUGCAUUGUUUGGAUCUUUGAACAAAAGUGGUAAUUGCAGGCAUUAAUAACAUGAUUUCCCAAUGGUCCGUCAGGAUGAGCUACCAAGGAAGUUCCAGGUUUUGCUCAUGUACAACCAGUUUUGUGUCAGAGAUCCAAAGUAGUUCUUUGGAAGCACCUGGCAUUACCAAAGACAUUUCAUCCCCACUUUCCAGGGCAUUUUGAAUGAACCCACUAUGGUCUGAAAAACAACCUAUCUCUACUUUUGUAGGGGUUUCUAUCAUCUCAAAAAUAAGAUGGCAGGCAUCAAGUAAAUACAGUUAUUGUUUCUAAGACACAGAUUCAAACAAGAUCAAGCAACAGAAAGAGGAAUAUUUGGACCAAUACAAAUGAUCCUGAUGUAACAUACCAGUAAUAUUGCUAAAGUGUUUAAGCAUUUAACUAUAAUUCCUGAAUAAUAGUUUUAAAAGGUUCAGUGGAGAUUAGUAAAAAACAGUUUCUAAAAUCUUUCAUGAGAUAGGAUGUAACACGUGUUCAGUGGCAAGGGGAAGGGAAUGAGGGAGAGAGAGAGAGAAAGCAAGCUGGGAUAUUUCAAGAAAGAGGCAGUUUGAAUUCGUCUUUAUGAAGAUUCCAAAAAUAUGGGAAAUCUCAAAACUUACUGAGAUUUUGUUACCCAUCUGGAAGCACUCAAAUUGCUUGCGAGAUACAGUAGGAAAUAUGGUCUUGUCCAUGACUGCUGCUUCAAAUGGCAAAACCGGAGAGCGGUAUCCAAAGAAGCAUAAGUAAGCUGCUGACUUCCAAAUACUUCUUCUUGAGCGCAGUGCCAUUCAAAGUGGUGGUCCUGUCCCAGUUGCAAUAACAAAGCCACGGGCCACUGGCUCUUUGUGAGUUGCAUGGUACAUUGAGGG
Anolis carolinensis (green anole) is the source of this 2480-nucleotide long non-coding RNA. The record is from Ensembl. NCBI's taxonomy places the organism in Eukaryota, Metazoa, Chordata, Lepidosauria, Squamata, Anolidae.